This is a non-coding RNA of Pelobates cultripes (western spadefoot toad), 342 nucleotides long. NCBI's taxonomy places the organism in Eukaryota, Metazoa, Chordata, Amphibia, Anura, Pelobatidae. The record is from the annotation of a GenBank genome assembly.
GGUGACAGAGUGAGGGGAUGACUGGUGACUGAGUGAGGGGAUGACUGGUGACUGAGUGAGGGGAUGACUAGUGACAGAGUGAGGGAGUGACUAAUGACAGAGGGAGGGAGUGACUAGUGACAGAGAGAGGGAGUGACUAGUGACCGAGUGAAGGAGGGGGUGACUGUCACUAGUCACCCCAUCCCUCUCUCUGUCACUAGUCACUCCCUCCCUAACUCUGUCACUGUGUCGCCCGCUCCCUCACUCUGUCACUAGUCACCCCCUCACUCUGUCACCCCCUCCCUCCCUCUGUCCCUAGUCACCCCCUUCUUCACUCUGUCACUAGUCACCCCAUCCCUCUCU